RNAcentral lists this ribosomal RNA (635 nucleotides) under uncultured bacterium. Its description in RNAcentral is "bacterial SSU rRNA". It matches the Rfam family "Bacterial small subunit ribosomal RNA", at positions 51 to 690 of the family's 1533-position model. The record is from RNAcentral.
ACGGGGGCGUGAUGUGCGAGAGGGAUAGUUUACUAGACUUCAAACUUUUCACGCCCUAGUGGCGGACGGGUGAGUAACGCGUGGGUAACCUGCCAUAUACAGGGGGAUAACACUUAGAAAUAGGUGCUAAUACCGCAUAAGCGCACAGGGGCGCAUGCCCCGGUGUGAAAAACUCCGGUGGUAUAUGAUGGACCCGCGUCUGAUUAGCCAGUUGGCAGGGUAACGGCCUACCAAAGCGACGAUCAGUAGCCGGCCUGAGAGGGCGGACGGCCACAUUGGGACUGAGACACGGCCCAAACUCCUACGGGAGGCAGCAGUGGGGGAUAUUGCACAAUGGGGGAAACCCUGAUGCAGCGACGCCGCGUGAGUGAAGAAGUAUUUCGGUAUGUAAAGCUCUAUCAGCAGGGAAGAAAAUGACAGUACCUGACCAAAAAGCCCCGGCUAACUACGUGCCAACAGCCGCGGUAAUACGUAAGGGGCAAGCGUUAUCCCGAUUUACUGGGUGUAAAGGGAGCGUAGACGGUUAUGUAAGUCUGGAGUGAAAGCCCGGGGCCCAACCCCGGGACUGCUUUCGAAACUGUGUAACUGGAGUACAGGAGGGGCAGGCGGAAUUCCUGGUGUAGCGGUGAAAUGCG